Molecule: ribosomal RNA, 1106 nt
Filed under: Escherichia coli
Lineage: Bacteria; Pseudomonadati; Pseudomonadota; Gammaproteobacteria; Enterobacterales; Enterobacteriaceae
Description: partial 23S ribosomal RNA
Rfam family: Bacterial large subunit ribosomal RNA
Source: RNAcentral
GGGACACGUGGUAUCCUGUCUGAAUAUGGGGGGACCAUCCUCCAAGGCUAAAUACUCCUGACUGACCGAUAGUGAACCAGUACCGUGAGGGAAAGGCGAAAAGAACCCCGGCGAGGGGAGUGAAAAAGAACCUGAAACCGUGUACGUACAAGCAGUGGGAGCACGCUUAGGCGUGUGACUGCGUACCUUUUGUAUAAUGGGUCAGCGACUUAUAUUCUGUAGCAAGGUUAACCGAAUAGGGGAGCCGAAGGGAAACCGAGUCUUAACUGGGCGUUAAGUUGCAGGGUAUAGACCCGAAACCCGGUGAUCUAGCCAUGGGCAGGUUGAAGGUUGGGUAACACUAACUGGAGGACCGAACCGACUAAUGUUGAAAAAUUAGCGGAUGACUUGUGGCUGGGGGUGAAAGGCCAAUCAAACCGGGAGAUAGCUGGUUCUCCCCGAAAGCUAUUUAGGUAGCGCCUCGUGAAUUCAUCUCCGGGGGUAGAGCACUGUUUCGGCAAGGGGGUCAUCCCGACUUACCAACCCGAUGCAAACUGCGAAUACCGGAGAAUGUUAUCACGGGAGACACACGGCGGGUGCUAACGUCCGUCGUGAAGAGGGAAACAACCCAGACCGCCAGCUAAGGUCCCAAAGUCAUGGUUAAGUGGGAAACGAUGUGGGAAGGCCCAGACAGCCAGGAUGUUGGCUUAGAAGCAGCCAUCAUUUAAAGAAAGCGUAAUAGCUCACUGGUCGAGUCGGCCUGCGCGGAAGAUGUAACGGGGCUAAACCAUGCACCGAAGCUGCGGCAGCGACACUAUGUGUUGUUGGGUAGGGGAGCGUUCUGUAAGCCUGUGAAGGUGUACUGUGAGGUAUGCUGGAGGUAUCAGAAGUGCGAAUGCUGACAUAAGUAACGAUAAAGCGGGUGAAAAGCCCGCUCGCCGGAAGACCAAGGGUUCCUGUCCAACGUUAAUCGGGGCAGGGUGAGUCGACCCCUAAGGCGAGGCCGAAAGGCGUAGUCGAUGGGAAACAGGUUAAUAUUCCUGUACUUGGUGUUACUGCGAAGGGGGGACGGAGAAGGCUAUGUUGGCCGGGCGACGGUUGUCCCGGUUUAAGCGUGUAGGCUGGUU